Molecule: long non-coding RNA, 5832 nt
Filed under: Theobroma cacao (cacao)
Lineage: Eukaryota; Viridiplantae; Streptophyta; Magnoliopsida; Malvales; Malvaceae
Description: long non-coding RNA (TCAC_LNC004248)
Source: RNAcentral
CCAUCUCCAGGAAGAAGUUGAGGCCUAUAGAAUAGUUGUCGUCUCUGUCACGAUUGAUGAAGAAUUUCAAGGUCAAUGGACCCAAAGUCUUGCCUUGAAGCCUGAAGGUCAAUGCUGUUUAGAAUGUUCAAUCAAAUGGCAUCUAUUCUUAUCUUCAAAGCAAAAAGCUUUCAGACUAUACAUCCAUGGACAUGGAUAUCCUUUCUUUCAGUGCUUGUUUCCUCAUCAUCUUCACCAAAGCUUCCAGCGCACCCGACAGGAUUUCUCCGUCUGAGUCACUCACUGAUGGCACGACCUUGGUCUCUAGUGAUGGAAGCUUUGUAUUGGGUUUCUUCACUCCGGGGAGUUCUAAGAAUCGUUACUUGGGAAUUUGGUACAAUAACAUCCCCAUGCAAACUGUUGUAUGGGUUGCAAACAGGAUAAAUCCGAUAAAUGACACCACUGGCUUGCUGCAGAUAGAAAGCACUGGCAGAGUCGUGCUUCUAGGUCAGAACCAAACAACUGUUUGGUCAAUUAAUUCCACAGAAGCAGCUCAGAAUCCGAUUCUGCAGCUCCUGGAUUCAGGCAAUCUUGUUGUCAGAAAUGGAAAAGAUGGUGAUUCAGAGAACUACUUGUGGCAAAGCUUUGAUUAUCCAACUGAUACAAUGUUACCGGCGAUGAAGAUUGGUUGGGACCUGAGAACUAAUUUAAAUCGAAGACUAGCAGCAUGGAAGAACUCAGAUGAUCCAUCUCCUGGGGACCUUACUUAUGGGGUGGAACUCCAAGGCAAUCCAGAGGUGGUGCUGCGGAAAGGCUCAGAAAAGUACCAUCGCAGUGGCCUCUGGAAUGGCGAUGGAUUUAGUGGUGCACAAAAUUUAAGAUCAAAUCCGGUCUAUGAGUACGACUUUGUCUGGAAUGAGGAGGAGGUGUACUACAUAAAUUACCUCAAAAAUAAAUCGGUGAUGUCAAGGUUAGUUUUGAACCAAACUGAAAAGGUUAGACAGCGGUACACAUGGAACCCAGAAACUCAAACUUGGAUGUUGAUUUCCAUCAUGCCAAGUGACUGUUGUGACAUACUUGGACUUUGUGGUGCAAAUGGGAACUGCGAUAAUUCCACGCUUCCAGCUUGCCAAUGUUUGAAAGCAUUCAGGCCUAAAUCGCUGGAAAGAUGGAACUCCUUAGACUGGUCUGAAGGGUGUAUACACAAUAAGCCAUUAAACUGCCAAAGCGGAGAUGGAUUUAUUAGAAUUGAGAGGGUGAAAACGCCAGAUACCUCACAUUCUUGGGUGAGCAAAAGUAUGAAUCUCGAGGAAUGCAGGGCUAAGUGCUUGCAGAACUGUUCUUGUAUGGCAUACACUAAUUUAGAUAUUAGAGGAGGAGGUAGCGGCUGCGCCAUGUGGUUUGGUGAUCUAAUUGAUAUUAAACAAUUUCAAUCAUUUGGCCAGGAUCUUUACAUCAGAGUCUCUGCUUCAGAAGCAGGUAUCAGUUUAAAAUCGGAACAUUUUCUUGUUACAGCUUGUGAUAAUUUCUUUUGGAAAUUGUUUAAUUAUACUUGGGCUCCUUCAUCAAUAAUGAUCAUGCAGAACUGAAAAACAAGGCUAAGGCGAAGCUGGCCGUGAUAAUUGCAACACCAAUUGCUAUGUUCUUGGGGCUUCUUGUAGUCAUUUAUUACAUCCGGAGAAGGAGAAGAAAAUUAGAAGGUAAUAUCAACUAUGGUCCUCAUUAAAGCAGGGGAAAGUUGGUAUUUGAUACAAAUACCAAAAUCGUUUCUGCUCACAGCACCGCUAUCAGAUCCCUGCCCUGUUUUCAAGAAAACAGUAAUACUAAAAUUUGUCAUUUCUCUUAUCAAAUUUGAUAAUACAUGGUUUUCAAUUUUGUUUUAUGAUCUGACAAAAAAGUGAGUCCAUGAACAAUUGGUUCGAUAUUUUUGGUUUUGGUGUUCAGAAGAAGCAUACAGCUUUUGUCUAUCUAAAUCUAUCAAUAUGCAUGAGAAAGCGUAUCUCUGUGUUGAAUGCUAGCCUAUUUUGACUACUGUUUCAGAUGAAGUUAAAGAAAGGAUUUUAAAUGAUCAAAAGAACCAAGGCCAGAGUGAAGAUAUGGAGCUUGCUGUAUUCGAGCUAGCUACGAUAGCCAGAGCUACUGGUAGUUUUUCUUUUAAUAACAAGCUAGGUGAAGGAGGUUUUGGACCUGUUUAUAAGGUAAAAGUAAGCACAUAUUACUAAAGUGAUCUCAAGCACGGAGAAUUCAUCUUUAUUGAAAGCUCAUCAAAAUAUUCCUAGUCUCCAGGGGACACUUGCAAAUGGACAAGAAAUUGCUGUGAAAAGACUUUCAAAGAGUUCCGGACAAGGAUUGAACGAGUUUAAAACUGAAGUAAAGUUGAUUGCCAAACUUCAGCAUCGGAAUCUUGUAAGGCUUCUUGGGUGCUGCAUUCAUGGAGAGGAGAAAAUGCUGGUUUAUGAAUACAUGCCUAACAGAAGUCUUGACUCAUUUAUUUUUGGUCAGAAACCUUUCAAUUUUAUAUUGUCUGCUCUCGGCUUGUGAAAUAGUUUUCUUUUGCUGCUUCAAAGGAUCAAAUAGAUAUAGAAUUAACAUGAAGGCAGUACUUGACAGAUCAAAGAAGGUGCAAAGUAUUAGAUUGGCCCAAGCGUUUCCAAAUUAUCUGUGGGAUUGCUAGGGGACUACUCUACCUUCAUCAAGAUUCCAGAUUGAGGAUUAUUCAUAGAGAUCUAAAAGCUAGUAAUGUUUUGCUUGAUAGUGAGAUGAACCCAAAAAUUUCAGAUUUUGGCAUGGCAAGACUUUUGGAGGAGACCAGACUGAAGCCAAUACCAACAGAGUGGUUGGAACUUAGUAAGUCUACUUUUUCUGCAAAUUUGAUCUAUAAAUGCCCAUGAAACUCUUAUCUGACAAUGUUUUGCAGUGGUUAUAUGGCACCAGAAUAUGCUAUCGAUGGGCUGUUUUCGGUAAAAUCAGAUGUGUUUAGCUUUGGCAUAUUGUUGUUGGAGAUAAUAAGUGGAAGAAAGAAUAGAGGAUUAUAUCAUCAAAAUCAAAAUGGCAACCUUAUUGAACAUGUAAGCCUGAUUGUCAUUAUCUUUUAUUACAUAUUUUGAACCGAUGAAUGAUAAAAGAAUUUCAUUUUGCUGCAGGCAUGGAGAUUAUGGAAAGAAGGCAGGCCUUUGGAUCUUGUUGAUGAGUUCUUAGCAGAGACCGGCAGUCUAUCACAGGUGUUACGAUGCAUCCACAUUAGCCUUUUUUGUGUACAACAACAUCCUAAGGAGAGGCCAAGCAUGUCAUCCGUGGUUCUGAUGUUGGGAAGUGAAAAUGAAUUGCCUCUGCCCAAACAACCUGGUUUUUGGUUUCACAAGAGUCCCUUUGAAGCAGAUUCUACAUCAGGCAACUACAAAUCAUCUUCUAGAAACGAAAUAAGUCUAUCAAUGUUAGAGGCUCGAUAGAGGGUGGUAUGCUUCAUUAAACCUAUUAUGCUCCAAACCAUCAGCAAUGACUCCAAUCCCACUUGAUGUUUGGGGCAUGUGCUUUUAGAGCCACUGCUAGUGAGAAAUGUUUCAGAAAUCAAACAUGCAAUUAAGCAUAAAUAGUAGUGUUUUGUUUAUUUCAUGGAUAGAUAGAUUGAAGGGCCGAACUGAAGCUUCAUACGGUUAACAUAUACAAAUUCCAUGCAAUCUCAUCAUUUACAAGUUUUUAAUUUAUCUUGUUUUCUGCUGCAUUUAUGUAAUAUCAAGGGCCAGCUAACCUUGUCAACUUGAAAAAUGAUAAUAUUAAUGCAUGAUGAGCCCAUCUUUGCCCUUAAUAUACCAAGUGAGAUAAAUGAAUCAACAAACUAACAUCAUUGUCUCGAUAUCAUUUUGUGCAUAAUCAAACAUUUGUUAUCAACAACAAAAAAAGAUCAUUCAUAAUUCAGGGAUUGCUCAGGUCCUUUUGCUUAAAUCCAGAAGCGGCUUAGUACUAUGAGACUGUAACCUCUUUUUGGGGCACAAAGGAAUGGACUUCACAAGAUUGGUCAAGCUAACUAGCAACUAGAUCUUUAACAGAGGCUAGGGAUUCCAAGGCUAUAGAGUUUCAUCUUCAUCUUUGUUUCAUCGUAGUCCAACUCUUUGGUUAUAGGGGCUUCAAAGGCGUUGGAAGACGUAACGAUCAGGCUGUCAGGGCUUCGCAAAACAAAAAGAAAAGGGAAGAGCACGUUGAUUGUACGUGACUGACAGGUGAUACGAGGUUGGCUUUGCCCUGUUCCAGACAAAGAUUUGGUGGGCCCAACACGUUGGCAAUAAUAUCAAACCUAAGAGUGAUAAUAGAUUGGCAAAACCAUGAACACAUCACUCAUCGCUCAGGGGAGGGGGAUUUGGAAAAAAUUAUGAAGUGGUACCAGCAAUUUUAGGCAUGGGCCGACAUGCUUAAUGGGCUUGUAGUGGACUAGCAAUUUUCUAAUGGGCUUAUUGUGGAUCAAGGACUGUUCUAAUGGGCUUCUAUUGGACAACAAAUGUUGGUUUUUUUUUUGGAAUGGAUUUAUUUAUACAUAAUUACAUAUAUAUUGUAUUUAAGAAAACAAAUGAAAUUUUGAAUUUCCACAUUACUUUUAUUCAUAAUUUUUUAAAUACAUUUUUACUAUCGCAAACCGUUUAUUAUGUUCACUACUCAUAAAUAUAUACAAACUUACAACGACAUAAUAAUUAUUGUAAAACAUUUUUUAUUCAUGAUUAAAUCAAAAUUUUAAUGAUACAGCUUGUCUAUUUCUUUUUCAACAUAAUGAAACUCAUAAAAAUAUUAUUAUUAUUAUCAUCAUAGUCAUAGUUGAAAAUGCUGGUCAACAUUUCAAAAAAAAAGUGAUUAUCUUUUUGUUAAUUAAAGUAAUAGUAAAAUAUCAAGAAACACGGUUUAUCCUAUUAAGAACAAACUAAUUAACAUGAAAAUAGGAAAAAUUCACACGAAGUCAACCCUAUCGGACCCUUGGAAUUUUGAUUGCAAUUUCUUGUAAAUUCAGCCUAAAAGUAUAGGAAGACUUGACUUUUUGAUAAUCAUGUCGACUUCAUAAUAGUUAUUGAGAAGAAAAGAUCUCCAUGAGGGACGUUUUUUUUAAGUCUAGAGAUGCAUGUUUACUUAAUUACUUGCACGUUGAGUGGUCUUGGUUUAAUUACUUAAUUACAGUCUAGUAGUGUACAAUGAAAUUAUUUUUAGGGGUUACUUUAUGAUAAAAUCAAGUGUAAAGUUCCCUGAUUUUUUUGUGUAACAAAGAAUUUUAGCAUCUUUAGUUUACUGAAACAGUUGGGAGCUCUACAUUAAGCUAGGGCAGACAAGAAUAUUCUGUUUCAUGGUUUUUUAAACUUAACUGCAACUUAUUUCAGUUCCUAUGUCUCAAUAAUCUUAACUUCACAGCCAUCAUGUUAGUUAAAGAUAUUGCUAUCUCCAAGAAGAAGUUGUGGCCUAUAGAAUAGUUGUAGUCUCUGUCACGAUUGAUGAAGAAUUCCAAGGUCAGUGGACCCAAAGUCUUGCCUUAAAGCCUGAAGGUCAAUACUGUUUAGAAUGUUCAAUCAAAUGGCAUCUAUUCUUAUCUUCAAAGCAAAUAGCUUUCAGACCAUACAUCCAUGGACAUGGAUAUCCUUUCUUUCAGUGCUUGUUUCCUCAUCAUCUUCUCCAAAGCUUCCAGCGCACUCGACAAGAUUUCUCCGUCUGAGUCACUCACUGAUGGCACGACCUUGGUCUCUAGUGAUGGAAGCUUUGUAUUGGGUUUCUUCACUCCGGGGAGUUCCAAGAAUCGUUACUUGGGAAUUUGGUACAAUAACAUCCCCAUGCAAACUGUUGUAUGGGUUGCAAACAGGAUAAAUCCGAUAAAUGACACCACUG